This 3248-nucleotide long non-coding RNA is filed under the name Salmo salar (Atlantic salmon). RNAcentral's name for it is "lncRNA (ENSSSAG00000111440.1)". The record is from RNAcentral. Lineage: Eukaryota; Metazoa; Chordata; Actinopteri; Salmoniformes; Salmonidae.
UGGUCAUUUAUGAACAUUUUAACAUCUUGGCCAUGUUCUGUUAUAAUCUCCACCCGGCACAGCCAGAAGAGGACUGGCCACUCGCUCAUAGCCUGGUUCCUCUCUAGGUUUCUUCCUAGGUUCUGGCCUUUCUAGGGAGUUUUUUCCUAGCCACCGUGCUUCUACACCUGCAUUGCUUGCUGUUUAGGUUUUUUUUUAGGCUGGGUUUCUGUACAGCACUUUGAGAUAUCAGCUGAUGUAAAAAGGGCUAUAUAAAUACAUUUGAUUUGAUUUCCAACAACUCAGUUAGUCAAAUGUCUGCCCUGCUAGAGCUGCCCCAGGUCAACUGUAAGUGCUGUUAAUGUGAAGUGGAAACUUCUAGGAGCAACAAUGGCUCAGCCAAGAAGUGGUAGGCCACACAAGCUCACAGAACAGGACCGUGUAAAAUUCAUCUGUCCUCGGUUGCAGCACUCACUAGCGAGUUCCAAACUUCCUCUGGAAGCAACUUCAGCACAAGAACUGUUCACCUGGAGUUUCAUGAAAUGGGUUUCCAUGGCCGAGCAGCCGCACACAAGCCUAAGAUCACCAUGUGCAAUGCUGGAGGGGUGUAAAGCUCACCGCCAUUGGACUCUGGAGAUUGAAUCACGUUCUCUGGAGUGAUGAAUCAUGUAGCAGUGAUGAAUCAUCUAGCAGUUUCUGGGUUUGGCAGAUACCAUGAGAGCGCUAUCUGCCCCAAUGCAUAGUGCCAACUGUAAAGUUUGGUGGAGGAGGAAUAAUGCUCUAGGCCCCUUAGUUCCAAUGAAGGGAAAUCUUAAUAACGCUACAGCAAACUAUGACAUUCUAGACGAUUCUGUGCUUCCCACUUUGUGGGAACAGGUUCGAAAAGGCCCUUUCCUGUUUCAGCAUGACAAUGCCCCCUUGCACAAAUCCUGGUCUAUAUGUGACCUUCCUGGUCCCGUCCCUCAAGUCAGUGAGUCAACACAGGAAGGAGCAAAGGAUGGAUUUUUUUAUUUUUAAAUUGAACCGUUAUUUAACUAGUUCAUUUAUUUCCAAAGCUGCAAUGAUGAGACAAACAGCAUGGAUGAAUGAUCAUUAGUCAGCGUGAUAUAAAUAGCACUCCCACAGCAAUUCUCCAUAAAUCUGCAGUAUGAUAUACUAACAAAAGAAAAAAUAUCGAAAUGUCUAUCAAGAUCAUUGUGAUCGUAUAGUGGAUUUAACAAUUUCUAAUAAUUCCUAAUUUACUAUAAUAAAAAUAAACAGUUUCCAUGUGUAAUCUCAUAUUCACAACAUCAGUAUAAACCAUCAUCCAUUUUGGUAUUAAAGAUAGAUAAAAUUAACCUGGGAAAAAAUGACUCAAUGUCGCCCUCUUGUGGCGAAGAAAUAUAAUACACCUGGAAUGUACAACAAAUACUUAAUUUUAUUUAUUUCACCUUUAUUUAACCAGGUAGGCAAGUUGAGAACAAGUUCUCAUUUACAACUGCGACCUGGCCAAGAUAAAGCAAAGCAGUUCAACAACAUACAACAACAACAGAGUUACACAUGGAAUAAACAAACAUACAGUCAAUAAUACAGUAGAAUUUGUUUUUUUUUAUUCAUUUGUCAUAAAUUACUUGCAAUGAUGGGACACACACAGUAUGGAUGAAUGUUCAUUAGUCGACAGGAUAUAAGGAUAUAAAUAAAUAGAAGAUGCCUUUUUCCAGUUAGCUACCAACUUGAAAGAGGGAACUUUAGCAUAAAACCCACAUGGAAAACUGAGAUUCGGCAAAUAACACAUAAAGACCGGCUUAUUUGACACCAAACCAACAACAGUAGUUACUAAUAACAUAAAUUGCUAAUGUACGAUGUAAAAAGUGUAUUUUAUGAUGUAAUGUCAACUUUAAAUAUUUGUAUCCCGGGAUCAUUUCAUUUUCACCUCACCCACAGUAAUUCUCCAUAAAUCUGCUGUGGAUUACCCAGAAUCCCAUACAUGUAUCACUAAGUGUAUUUAUUAGACAAUGUAAACACACUAUUCUAACAGGAAGUGGCAUAAUACCCAUUUUAUGCAGGAAUUUAACAACUUCAUUACACCUUUAUAAAUACAGAAAUGCUUUGUCGAGAUCGAUGUGGAAGAACUUGACUGGCCUGUACAGAGCCCUGACUUUAACCCCAUCGAACACCUUUGGGAUGAAUUGGAACGCCGACUGCGAGCCAGGGCCUAAUCGCCCAACAUCAGUGCCCGACCUCACUAAUGCUCUUGUGGCUGAAUGGAAGCAAGUCCCCCGCAGCAAUGAUCCAACAUCUAGUGGAAAGCCUUCCCAGAAGAGUGGAGGCUGUUAUAGCAGCAAUGUUCCAACAUCUAGUGGAAAGCCUUCCCAGAAGAGUGGAGGCUGUUAUAGCAGCAAUGUUCCAACAUCUAGUGGAAAGCCUUCCCAGAAGAGUGGAGGCUGUUAUAGCAGCAAUGUUCCAACAUCUAGUGGAAAGCCUUCCCAGAAGAGUGGAGGCUGUUGUAGCAGCAAAGGGGGGGACCAACUCCAUAUUAAUGACUUCCCUGAAGAGUGGAGGCUGUUAUAGCAGCAAAGGGGGGACCAACUCCAUAUUAAUGACUUCCCAGAAGAGUGGAGGCUGUUAUAGCAGCAAAGGGGGGGGGUCCAACUCCAUAUUAAUGACUUCCCUGAAGAGUGGAGACUGUUAUAGCAGCAAAGGGGGGACCAACUCCAUAUUAAUGACUUCCCAGAAGAGUGGAGGUCUGUUAUAGCAGCAAAGGGGGGGGUCCAACUCCAUAUUAAUGACUUCCCUGAAGAGUGGAGGCUGUUAUAGCAGCAAAGGGGGGACCAACUCCAUAUUAAUGACUUCCCAGAAGAGUGGAGGCUGUUAUAGCAGCAAAGGGGGACGAACUCCAUAUUAAUGACUUCCCUGAAGAGUGGAGGCUGUUAUAGCAGCAAAGGGGGGACCAACUCCAUAUUAAUGACUUCCCAGAAGAGUGGAGGUCUGUUAUAGCAGCAAAGGGGGGGACCAACUCCAUAUUGAUUUUGUAAUGUAGUGUUUAAUUCCAGCAUCCUCAAAAUGUCUUGACAUUAUUAACCAGGUUUCCAUCCAACCUUUUUAUGCAAGAAAAGUUGCCUACUUUUCUGAUAAUUGUUGUUUUUUUUAAAAUCCCAUCACAUCAUAGGAAAGCAUGCGGUUUAUUAGGCUACAAAUUAAAUAAACGAUGAUGAAUUUAACAGAAUGGUAAAAAUGCACAGAGAUGAGGUUUAUGCUCCUUUCAAUAAAUAUCAAGGGUCUUAUUCUAG